CUUGCCCCUAAAGGCAUUGCGGGUGUGGCUGCUGUGUCCCACGAGGGUCAGAAGGUGGCAGGGAGGGAAGAAGCUAUGUCUAUGCUCAGAGUUCUUACCUACGAACAUCUGAAUAGUGCCAUGGGGUCCGGAC
Molecule: small nucleolar RNA, 133 nt
Organism: Apodemus sylvaticus (European woodmouse)
Lineage: Eukaryota; Metazoa; Chordata; Mammalia; Rodentia; Muridae
Product: small nucleolar RNA SNORA17
Exons: 1
Source: RefSeq, a predicted model, not a curated record